This 83-nucleotide transfer RNA is filed under the name Myxococcales bacterium. RNAcentral's name for it is "tRNA-Ser". It matches the Rfam family "tRNA". From Rfam's summary of the family: Transfer RNA (tRNA) molecules are approximately 80 nucleotides in length. Their secondary structure includes four short double-helical elements and three loops (D, anti-codon, and T loops). Further hydrogen bonds mediate the characteristic L-shaped molecular structure. tRNAs have two regions of fundamental functional importance: the anti-codon, which is responsible for specific mRNA codon recognition, and the 3' end, to which the tRNAs corresponding amino acid is attached (by aminoacyl-tRNA synthetases). tRNAs cope with the degeneracy of the genetic code in two manners: having more than one tRNA (with a specific anti-codon) for a particular amino acid; and 'wobble' base-pairing, i.e. permitting non-standard base-pairing at the 3rd anti-codon position. RNAcentral also lists the same sequence under 1 other name. The record is from RNAcentral. Lineage: Bacteria; Pseudomonadati; Myxococcota; Myxococcia; Myxococcales.
GGAGGGGUGUCCGAGUGGUCGAAGGUGCCUGUUUCGAAAGCAGGUAGGCGAAAGCCUCGGGAGUUCGAAUCUCCCCCCCUCCG